Molecule: ribosomal RNA, 510 nt
Filed under: uncultured bacterium
Lineage: Bacteria
Description: partial 16S ribosomal RNA
Rfam family: Bacterial small subunit ribosomal RNA
Source: RNAcentral
GACGAACGCUGGCGGCGUGCUUAACACAUGCCAGUCGAACGAAGAGCGAUGGAAGCUUGCUUCUAUCAAUCUUAGUGGCGAACGGGUGAGUAACGCGUAAUCAACCUGCCCUUCAGAGGGGGACAACAGUUGGAAACGACUGCUAAUACCGCAUACGAUCUAAUCUCGGCAUCGAGGAUAGAUGAAAGGUGGCCUCUACAUGUAAGCUAUCACUGAAGGAGGGGAUUGCGUCUGAUUAGCUAGUUGGAGGGGUAACGGCCCACCAAGGCGAGGAUCAGUAGCCGGUCUGAGAGGAUGAACGGCCACAUUGGGACUGAGACACGGCCCAGACUCCUACGGGAGGCAGCAGUGGGGAAUCUUCCGCAAUGGACGAAAGUCUGACGGAGCAACGCCGCGUGAGUGAUGACGGCCUUCGGGUUGUAAAGCUCUGUUAAUCGGGACGAAAGGCCUUCUUGCGAAUAGUGAGAAGGAUUGACGGUACCGGAAUAGAAAGCCACGGCUGACUACGUG